Molecule: RNA transcript, 1826 nt
Organism: Cygnus olor (mute swan)
Lineage: Eukaryota; Metazoa; Chordata; Aves; Anseriformes; Anatidae
Gene: SPCS2
Gene name: signal peptidase complex subunit 2
Exons: 4
Source: RefSeq, a predicted model, not a curated record
CAGGCUUUAGGGAGAAGAACCAGACCUCAGCAGGCAGAUUAAAAACGUGAGUCCCGACGCUGAGGUAGAUGCACGGGGCUAUGAUGCCGGGCAAACUGCUGUCGCCGGGAGGCGAGGCUUCAAACCGCGCAAAACCGAUCCCCGAGUGGAAGAUCGACGACAAGCCAGUAAAAAUUGACAAAUGGGACGGGUCGGCCGUGAAAAAUUCCUUGGACGAUUCUGCCAAAAAGGUCCUCCUGGAGAAGUACAAAUACGUCGAAAACUUCCGUCUGAUCGACGGCCGCCUCAUCAUCUGCACCAUCUCGUGUCUCUUCGCGAUCGUAGCCCUCAUCUGGGAUUACCUGCACCCCUUCCCUGAAUCCAAGCCGGUCCUUGCGUUUUGUGUCGUAUCAUAUCCUUUACCUGCCUUGUCCCAUCUAGAAUCCCAGAAUAUCCCAAGCUGGAAGGGACCCCUGAGAAUUAUCGAGUCCGACUCCAAAUUCGAGUCCCAUCCAAAGCAGGUUCCCUCAAGGGUGUCUGGGUGGUUGUCAUCUGAUGGUCACGCGCUUAAAUUCGGGUGAUCUGUGUGCGAUGGGGAUGCAAACUGCCCGUAGAGCAGAGGCCGGGCAGCAAUUCAGCUCGCUCCGAAGCCCACAGCAGCCUCCUGGGCAGCUGAAUCGCCCCCCUGGCUGCGCUGACCCCCGUUUCCGAAAUCUGACAGCUGUGCAGACGUUCCUCAGCUUAGGGGUGUUAAUCCCAAACUGGAAAUCAGCCCUUAAAAGCUUCAGGGUUUUGUUUUGUGUGGGUUUUUUUGGUUUUUUUUUUUUUAGUUCUAUCUGUAGUGUGGCUACGGAAACCUCUGUCCUCCCCUAGUACAACAGCUCGGCUACUGCGAGUGGAAAGUGGAGCGGGGGUAAUUCUUGCCAGCGCCUCUGUCGGAGAGGAGCAGUUCCUCCAGGAAGACCGACGUCUGUGGAGGUUUUACAACGCAAGCGGACGUGACAGAGGAUUGACGACACGAACGGACGUGCCAGACGAGCAGUGCUGGCCCAGAGCUGCCCACGGGCCUGCUCCCAAGGGCAGCUUUGGUAUCGGUGAGGCAGCACGAGCUGGCAGCCUGGAAGCUUGUUGCUGACCUGGGAGCCGCUGUGUCACUAGCUGGGCAAGUCCCGUCCUUGUUGUAGGCUGUUUUUUUUUCUGUUUGGCACUCGGCAUGAACUCCGGGAUAGUUCGUCUCGCAGCGUUUGGGGUGAUUUACUUCCAAAAAUGAGAGAAAUUGCUUGGUCCGUGCUCAACAGAAAUAGCGCUUAUUCUGUGGCUCGCACUUUCCCACCAUCUCCUGCAGGUGUUGCUCCAAAUAAUUAGCAAAGUGAUGGAAAAGAGUAUUUCAUCGUUGUGAUUUCUGCUUUACUUAAUGGUUUCACAAAGCAUUUUGUGCAGCUGGCCCAGAAAUGUUGUUCUUGAAAGCACGUAGCGGGUUCUCGCUUCCCCCACUGCUUCCAGCCACCCGUUAGUGCUCUUGUGCCAGUGCAAAGAUCCUAGGAAAGUGCCCCAAUUAUUAUUUAGCUUCCCGUGCUCGUGGGACGUCAGCCAAACAGCUGGCUGGGAAUGAUAACGCCACGAGAGGUGGCUGAAAGGCGCUGUCUCAGGGGAGCCCAGCUCCUUCUUUGCCUAUCUUCAGUGCCUCAAUUCCCUUCUUUGCCUAUCUUCAGUGCCUCAAUUCCCUUAACCUUUCCGAACAUAUUUUGUGAUGAUGGGAAUCCUGACCAUCUACACCUCCUACAAAGAGAAGAGUAUUUUCCUGGUAGCUCACAGAAAAGACCCAGCAGGGAUGGACCCCGAUGACG